GCAGGGGCUGAUGGGAAUUGUAGUCCAUGAACAUCUGGAGAACCGCAGGGUGCAGACCCCUGGGCUAGAUCAUGAGAGAGGCUUCCUUGAGAAAAGCAACCCCAGAACAACUAAAACACAUCUAUGGUAUAAAUUCAUAAUUGUUCAACAUCAUGACUUCCUUCUAAAGAAUUCUGGGAAACGCUGUCUGCAAAGGGACUAAGAAUCUCUACCCACCAUCAGAAUGUUACAAAAUUACUAUUCGCAGCUUAAAUCCCGCAUGGAAGUAACAAAGGGAUUUUCUGCACAGCAUUUCUGCUCUGCACCAAGUUCUGGAGCUUCAAAGGAUACUUUGUGAAAGGGAACGGAGGAAAACGAUGCAGUUAAGAAGUUGAGCUGGAACAAGAACCUGGUGUGGAAAUGCCCAAAGAUACAAAAUUAUUGUGUUAAAAAAUAAAACAAGCAUGCA
Long non-coding RNA from Sphaerodactylus townsendi, 448 nucleotides. RefSeq lists it as uncharacterized. NCBI's taxonomy places the organism in Eukaryota, Metazoa, Chordata, Lepidosauria, Squamata, Sphaerodactylidae. The transcript has 2 exons. The record is from RefSeq and is a predicted model, not a curated record.